This 253-nucleotide ribosomal RNA is filed under the name uncultured bacterium. RNAcentral's name for it is "partial 16S ribosomal RNA". It matches the Rfam family "Bacterial small subunit ribosomal RNA", at positions 524 to 776 of the family's 1533-position model. The record is from RNAcentral.
UACGUAGGGUGCUAGCGUUGUUCGGAAUCAUUGGGCGUAAAGCGCGUGUAGGCGGUCAGGCAAGUCAGAUGUGAAAUCCCUGGGCUCAACCGAGGAAGUGCAUCCGAAACUGCUUGGCUAGAAGACGGUAGAGGAAGGUGGAAUUCCUAGUGUAGAGGUGAAAUUCGUAGAUAUCUGGAGGAAUACCGGUGGCGAAGGCGGCAUCCUGGACCGGCAUUGACGCUGAUGAGCGAAAGCUAGGGGAGCAAACGGG